ACAGAAUACUCAAAAGCAAACUUUUUAACAUUGGCAUAAGAGGAAAAAGAACCCAGUCCUUGCUACAUAUCUUCUGAAAGGUCAAGUAAUACCAAGAUGUCAUGUUGUGUGUGACCUUUGUGUCUAUCACGAUGAAAAACUAAUGUUUGAUGAACAUAUAGAUAAAAUCAUCUCGAAGGCCUCAAAAGCCCUAGGCUUCAUCAUGAGGAUCAAGAAGAUACAAUCCUCCACUUACUUGUGAAACCUACAGCACUAACUAUAGAGGUAACUCGUUCCUGGUGCGAGCAAGCAGAUCUUUUAAUUCUCUUUGCAAAGAACUUAAUUUAGAUCCCUAUACCACCAAAAGCACUAAAUUUCGAUCGGAUUAUAAUAAGAGGUUUUUUAGUA
Long non-coding RNA from Aricia agestis (brown argus), 387 nucleotides. RefSeq lists it as uncharacterized. NCBI's taxonomy places the organism in Eukaryota, Metazoa, Arthropoda, Insecta, Lepidoptera, Lycaenidae. The transcript has 3 exons. The record is from RefSeq and is a predicted model, not a curated record.